UGGCAGCGAGCGGCGAACGGGUGAGUAACACAUCGGAACGUGCCCUAUCGUGGGGGAUAACGAAUCGAAAGAUUCGCUAAUACCGCAUACGACCUGAGGGUGAAAGCGGGGGAUCGCAAGACCUCGCGCGAUUGGAGCGGCCGAUGUCGGAUUAGCUAGUUGGUGAGGUAAAGGCUCACCAAGGCGACGAUCCGUAGCUGGUCUGAGAGGACGACCAGCCACACUGGGACUGAGACACGGCCCAGACUCCUACGGGAGGCAGCAGUGAGGAAUUUUGGACAAUGGGGGCAACCCUGGUCCAGCCAUUCCGCGUGAGUGAAGAAGGCCUUCGGGUUGUAAAGCUCUUUCGGCAGGAACGAAGCGGUGCAGGCUAAUACCCUGUAUCAAUGACGGUACCUGAAGAAGAAGCACCGGCUAACUACGUGCCAGCAGCCGCGGUAAUACGUAGGGUGCGAGCGUUAAUCGGAAUUACUGGGCGUAAAGCGUGCGCAGGCGGCUUUGUAAGACAGGUGUGAAAUCCCCGGGCUUAACCUGGGAACUGCGCUUGUGACUGCAAGGCUUGAGUGUGGCAGAGGGGGGUGAAAUUCCACGUGUAGCAGUGAAAUGCGUAGAGAUGUGGAGGAACACCGAUGGCGAAGGCAGCCCCCUGGGUCAACACUGACGCUCAUGCACGAAAGCGUGGGUAGCAAACAGGAUUAGAUACCCUGGUAGUCCACGCCCUAAACGAUGCCAACUAGGUGUUGGGGAAGGAGACUUCCUUAGUACCGUAGCUAACGCGUGAAGUUGGCCGCCUGGGGAGUACGGUCGCAAGAUUAAAACUCAAAGGAAUUGACGGGACCCGCACAAGCGGUGGAUGAUGUGGAUUAAUUCGAUGCAACGCGAAAAACCUUACCUACCCUUGACAUGCCAG
Molecule: ribosomal RNA, 910 nt
Filed under: uncultured bacterium
Lineage: Bacteria
Description: bacterial SSU rRNA
Rfam family: Bacterial small subunit ribosomal RNA
Source: RNAcentral